CUACUUGCAUACAUACUCUAGUCCUGAGGACAAUAAGGAAAAAAGGAGGAAAGUGAGUUGGAGUUUGUCAGUUUACAUCCAGAGAGGCCCCAGAUACCAAAGGGGAAAGUCAAGCUGCCUAGUUUUCAACUGUUACAUAAAGCAGGCAACUUGUCUAGCAAAACAAGGAAAAAGAGAUAAAUAUUCCUUCUUGUGAAGACUGGAAACAAAAACUGAGCCUAAAAAAAUGCCUAUUAAAUAAAUCGCUCAUGAUAGCUCUUAGAUGGCCCAGGAAUGGAGGUAUUUUAUCAUGUCAUCAGAUCUAAUAAACAGAAAAUGUAAUUGAGUUACUCAGUGGGCAGUUUGACUUGAUUUUUCAUUUAUCUUUGAUGCAUAUAAUUCCAUCUGAUAUUAACAGCAGAGAAGGUUGGUCUGUGGCAGUGCAAUAGAUGAUCUCAUAGUGUGUAUUUUCGCCCACGGUGUAAUGAAAGUAGCAAGUCAUGAUACAUGAGCAAGAACAAAGGAUGAGGCUUUCACUUGGAACUUUUUGCAGCAUUACUGACAUCAUUAGGCUUCUGCUCUGUAGAAAUCAGUUGGCAUUUCUUCAGUUAAAUGCUGGUUCGAGCUCAAACUACCCUGAAGAUCUAGGCACUCUGCAGGGGUUCAUUUACACAUGGGUAAAAGGACUGAAAUCUGCAAUUUUCCCUCCAAAUCCAAGCCCCCAUGAAGACAUCCUUUCAGUUUUACCAUCAUUAAGCAGCCUUUGCCAUCAGAACUUCUCAAGAAAUACAUAUAAAUUGCAUGAAUGCACGGAUUACAUGUUUUCACAGGUGUGUGAGCUACAUCAGCUAACAGUUACCUUGCUUUCACAAGCACAGGCAUCACAGUCCACACAAUACCUUGCACAGUUCCACUCAAUUCCUCUUCCAGAAGACUUUGGACUAAUGUAUGUCUGUCAACUUUUAAUUGUUUACUAAUCAGUCUUUUUAUUGUGGGUUCUGUUUUGUGCUGUUUUUUUCCAAUUGUUUCACUAUACUUUUUCCAGGCUCAGUUGAAAAGUUUGCAGCUGAAACAUUCUAAAAGCUAAAUACUCUUCUACGACAGCAGACAGCCCAAGGCACAGUAUAAAUGUAGCAGUAUUUACCUGUUUGGGAACACAGAAGUAAGAUAAUACUUUGAACUUGAUAAAUAAAUGAAGCUAUGCCUAUUUUCCCUCUACUGUUUCAAUUCCAUGUGUGUUCUUUGAAUUGUGGUACAAAAGGAUAUUAAACUGCUGUAAUGCUGAAGUACAUUGCCUACCCAAUGCUCUGAAGCACAGGAACAGAAUACCUGCAGCAGUUAUGGAAACAUCUAGCAAUGAAAGUUUUUAAGAAUAUGUUGGAGAAACUGCUGCUGAGAGUUGCUUAAGUAUAGCUACC
Molecule: long non-coding RNA, 1397 nt
Organism: Gallus gallus (chicken)
Lineage: Eukaryota; Metazoa; Chordata; Aves; Galliformes; Phasianidae
Source: Ensembl